Molecule: ribosomal RNA, 497 nt
Filed under: uncultured bacterium
Lineage: Bacteria
Description: partial 16S ribosomal RNA
Rfam family: Bacterial small subunit ribosomal RNA
Source: RNAcentral
GAUGAACGCUGGCGGCGUGCCUAAUACAUGCAAGUCGAGCGAACGGACGAGAAGCUUGCUUCUCUGAUGUUAGCGGCGGACGGGUGAGUAACACGUGGAUAACCUACCUAUAAGACUGGGAUAACUUCGGGAAACCGGAGCUAAUACCGGAUGAUAUUUUGAACCGCAUGGUUCAAAAGUGAAAGACGGUCUUGCUGUCACUUAUAGAUGGAUCCGCGCUGCAUUAGCUAGUUGGUAAGGUAACGGCUUACCAAGGCAACGAUGCAUAGCCGACCUGAGAGGGUGAUCGGCCACACUGGAACUGAGACACGGUCCAGACUCCUACGGGAGGCAGCAGUAGGGAAUCUUCCGCAAAGGGCGAAAGCCUGACGGAGCAACGCCGCGUGAGUGAUGAAGGUCUUCGGAUCGUAAAACUCUAUUAUUAGGGAAGAACAUAUGUGUAAGUAACUGUGCACAUCUUGACGGUACCUAAUCAGAAAGCCACGGCUAACUACGUG